Long non-coding RNA from Pseudophryne corroboree (corroboree frog), 828 nucleotides. RefSeq lists it as uncharacterized. Lineage: Eukaryota; Metazoa; Chordata; Amphibia; Anura; Myobatrachidae. The transcript has 6 exons. The record is from RefSeq and is a predicted model, not a curated record.
CCAUGAUGCAUUGCACCGCUGCUAGAGCUGCAGUAAUCAGGACAGCGUGUGUAGCUUCCCUUUCUCAGCGGCAAGCCGAAAAAGUAUACCUGCCGCCCGCCCUAGCUAUGAAUGUGUUGAUGCUGCUGACCUUUCUCUGGCCCCACACAGAACUGCAGUGCAUUCAGCGCUGAGUCGCUGACAGCACAGUGAUGGAUGUAAGCAGGACGCAGCCUUCACCUCCAAUAGGUUGAAACAGGCGGCACUCAGGCAGACUCAUGAGAGAUGAAGAAAAGCGGUCCGUUUAUUAUACCGACAUGUUUCGGGGAAUACCCCGUCCUCAGGGCCAUGAAACCUUCGGCAACGAUCGGUAUUUUUUCUCUUAAAUAUAAAAUACAGUUGCCAGGGAGACACGAGAUGGAGAAAUAAAAAUAUAAAUUGUCCAUCACAUCAGCACUUGAACACCCUUGGUGGUUAAAACUCUAUUGAAGCCCGCCACCACUUUGAAUCCUGAAUCAAGUCGUUAAUGAACUAUUUUACGCUAAGGGACACUGGAUUUUAACUCUUUGAAUUCUGGACUUUUUAGUGGACAAUCAUACUUUAAGAUAAUCCAUGAGGUGAAUUUUAUCCGAUACCGUUCUGAUAAUGUGUCUACUUAUUGAAGAUUUAUUAUGCUGAUUAUCUGUAUUGAAGUCUCUUGAUUGUAAAGCCCCUGAUGAAGGCCGCUGGACGAAAUGCGUUGGGUUUUUGAGACAACAAUUGCGUUCUUCAAUUGAAGAGUCACUGCUAUACGAUUAGAAUGGAACAUUGUUUUCAAUCAUCUCAUGUAUAAAGUAUCAUUGAAUGUAA